AUAUUGUCUUGUCACAGCAGU
Molecule: microRNA, 21 nt
Filed under: Apis mellifera (honey bee)
Lineage: Eukaryota; Metazoa; Arthropoda; Insecta; Hymenoptera; Apidae
Description: ame-miR-1000-5p
Source: miRBase by way of RNAcentral